This 684-nucleotide small RNA is filed under the name Pan troglodytes (chimpanzee). Its description in RNAcentral is "retained intron". Lineage: Eukaryota; Metazoa; Chordata; Mammalia; Primates; Hominidae. The record is from RNAcentral.
CUCCACCUCCCGGGUUCAAGUGAUUCUCUUGCCUCAGCCUCCCAGGUAGCUGGGACUACAGGCACAUGCCACCACGCCCGGCUAAUUUUUUUUUUUUUUUUACUAUUUUAGUAGAGACAGAGUUUCACCAUGUUGGCCAGGAUGGUCUUGAUCUGAUCUCGUGAUCCGUCUGCCUCGGCCUCCCAAAGUGCUGGGAUUACAGGCGUGAGCCACCGUGCCCGGCCUUGUAUGUGGGUUUUAAGUGGGCCAAUGUAAUAAGCAUUCUGUUUCAUACCUGGGGUAGUAUGUGGAUAUAAGUAUCAGCUUAAAAUAGGGCAGGUAAAUAAAUCUGUGUUCCUAUCUGGUGGUAUGUCAUUGCCUUCUAUCUUUGGACCUAGAAAUGAGUUGGUUCAAACCAGGUAGGUAUGCAGACCUGUUUGUAUCUGGUAGAUAAGAAACCCCUGGUUUGUCUGGGAGGUUGAGCAGCGGCUUAUUGUGGAAUCUCUUUGUGCCUGGUGUUCUCCUAGAUCCAAUUCUGGUACAGCAGUUGCGCCGGACAUACAAAUAUUUCAAAGAUUAUAGACAGAUGAUCAUCGAGCCCACUAGCCCUUGCCUUCUCCCAGACCCUCUGCAGGAACCGUACUACCAGCCACCCUACACGCUCGUUUUGGAGCUCACCGGCGUCCUCUUGCAUCCUGAGUGGUC